AGGUAAGAUGGCCGAGCAGGCAUUAGACUGUAAAUCUAACCACAGAGGGUUUACCUCUUCUUAUC
Molecule: transfer RNA, 65 nt
Filed under: Sicista concolor (Chinese birch mouse)
Lineage: Eukaryota; Metazoa; Chordata; Mammalia; Rodentia; Dipodidae
Description: tRNA-Tyr
Rfam family: tRNA
About the family: Transfer RNA (tRNA) molecules are approximately 80 nucleotides in length. Their secondary structure includes four short double-helical elements and three loops (D, anti-codon, and T loops). Further hydrogen bonds mediate the characteristic L-shaped molecular structure. tRNAs have two regions of fundamental functional importance: the anti-codon, which is responsible for specific mRNA codon recognition, and the 3' end, to which the tRNAs corresponding amino acid is attached (by aminoacyl-tRNA synthetases). tRNAs cope with the degeneracy of the genetic code in two manners: having more than one tRNA (with a specific anti-codon) for a particular amino acid; and 'wobble' base-pairing, i.e. permitting non-standard base-pairing at the 3rd anti-codon position.
Source: RNAcentral